Capra hircus (goat) is the source of this 73-nucleotide small nuclear RNA. The record is from Ensembl. NCBI's taxonomy places the organism in Eukaryota, Metazoa, Chordata, Mammalia, Artiodactyla, Bovidae.
AGCACACAGAGAGAGAUGAGCAUGGUCCCUGUGCAAGGAUGACAUACAAGCUUGUGAAACAUUCCACAUUUUU